GCGUAUAGCUCAGCGGGAGAGCAUCGGCCUUACAAGCCGAGGGUCGCAGGUUCAAACCCUGCUGCGCC
RNAcentral lists this transfer RNA (68 nucleotides) under human gut metagenome. It matches the Rfam family "tRNA". Rfam says of the family: Transfer RNA (tRNA) molecules are approximately 80 nucleotides in length. Their secondary structure includes four short double-helical elements and three loops (D, anti-codon, and T loops). RNAcentral also lists the same sequence under 1 other name. The record is from RNAcentral.